RNAcentral lists this ribosomal RNA (253 nucleotides) under uncultured bacterium. Its description in RNAcentral is "partial 16S ribosomal RNA". It matches the Rfam family "Bacterial small subunit ribosomal RNA", at positions 524 to 776 of the family's 1533-position model. The record is from RNAcentral.
UACGGAGGGGGCUAGCGUUGUUCGGAAGUACUGGGCGUAAAGCGCACGUAGGCGGCUUUGCAAGUUAGAGGUGAAAGCCCGGGGCUCAACUCCGGAAUUGCCUUUAAAACUGCAUCGCUAGAAUUGUGGAGAGGUAAGUGGAAUUCCGAGUGUAGAGGUGAAAUGCGUAGAUAUCGUAAGGAAGACCGGUGGCGAAGGCGGGUCUCUGGACAGUUCCUGACGCUGAGGCACGAAGGUCAGGGGAGCAAACGGG